AGUGAACGCUGGCGGUAGGCCUAACACAUGCAAGUCGAACGGCAGCACAGUAAGAGCUUGCUCUUACGGGUGGCGAGUGGCGGACGGGUGAGGAAUACAUCGGAAUCUACUUUUUCGUGGGGGAUAACGUAGGGAAACUUACGCUAAUACCGCAUACGACCUACGGGUGAAAGCAGGGGAUCUUCGGACCUUGCGCGAUUGAAUGAGCCGAUGUCGGAUUAGCUAGUUGGCGGGGUAAAGGCCCACCAAGGCGACGAUCCGUAGCUGGUCUGAGAGGAUGAUCAGCCACACUGGAACUGAGACACGGUCCAGACUCCUACGGGAGGCAGCAGUGGGGAAUAUUGGAUAAUGGGCGCAAGCCUGAUCCAGCCAGACCGCGUGGGUGAAGAAGGCCUUCGGGUUGUAAAGCCCUUUUGUUGGGAAAGAAAAGCAGCAGGUUAAUACCCCGCUGUUCUGACGGUACCCAAAGAAUAAGCACCGGCUAACUUCGUG
RNAcentral lists this ribosomal RNA (492 nucleotides) under uncultured bacterium. Its description in RNAcentral is "partial 16S ribosomal RNA". It matches the Rfam family "Bacterial small subunit ribosomal RNA", at positions 29 to 507 of the family's 1533-position model. The record is from RNAcentral.